Molecule: small nuclear RNA, 279 nt
Filed under: Neotoma lepida (desert woodrat)
Lineage: Eukaryota; Metazoa; Chordata; Mammalia; Rodentia; Cricetidae
Description: 7SK RNA
Rfam family: 7SK RNA
About the family: 7SK was discovered as an abundant small nuclear RNA in the mid-70s but a possible function has only recently been suggested. Two independent studies have found that 7SK RNA binds the CDK9/cyclin T complex (known as elongation factor P-TEFb).
Source: Rfam by way of RNAcentral
GGUUUAAGGGUGGUCUGGCUGUGACAUCUGUCACCCCAUGAAGGCCAGGCUUGAUUCAUGAGAUCUGUCUGUCUAGGUGGGUGUCCCCUUCUUCCCUCACCACACCCAAAGGUCCAAAUUUGUUCAAAUAGGAAGCCCUAGCCCAGAUGGAGGAGGACCAGUCUUGAGUCAUAGGUAUACAAGUAGCUGCACUUCCCUGCUAGAACCUCCACACAAGUUCUCAAGGGUAUCUUUUAGUGUGUGUCUUCACACAAUUCCCACUCUCAAGGCACUCCUCUU